GGCCAAUACGGCGAGGCUUCGCGGCUGCACGGGCGCCGCGAGGUCCAAGGGCGGCAGCAGCCAAUACGGCGAGGCUCCGCAGCUGCACGGGCGCCGCGAGGUCCAAGGGCGGCAGCAGCCAAUAAGGCGAGGCUCCGCGGCUGCACGGGCGCCACGAGGUCCAAGGGCGGCAGCAGCCAAUACGGCGAGGCGCCGCGCCCGCACGAGCGUCGUGAUGUCCAGGGACAGCAGCGGCCAAUACGACGAGGCGGUGGCUCUCCGGCGUGUGCUCCGCCUUGCUCCUGCGUCUCCUCCCCGGGCUCGACCUCCCGCCGUGCGUCCCCACCCGUAGCACCAAGACUCCCAAUGGCGUCUGCGUCGCCUCCGAGGAUGCCCCGGUAGCACCCAUCUCCCCCCUCCUCCUUCCUUCGGAUGAGUCAAUAGCUGACGGCGGCCAUCGUGUCUGAGCUCAUGUACACCCAGAUUUGACAGGGAGCAGAACAUGGAUCUCAAUUUUUGGCAGCUCUGUUCUAAUGAAGCCAGCAUGGUUAGGUAGUGCCCGUCAGGCACAACUUGCUCGUUUUCAGCAUGAGGAGGAAGAAGAUUAUUUAGUUUUUUUUUUGUAUGGACUAAUCCAAUGAGGAUGCUGGGCAAGAAAAUAGAAGGAAUGUGGAUCUCAAGACUGAAGAAAAGCAGGCCUCCUUGGUGGCUCUGUGCUCAGAAAAGCAGAUUCGCAAAACUCCGAUUUUUCGACAGCAACUCAUCCGCCUCAGUCUCGUCUUUCGUUGACGGCAGAGCACCACGUAGCAGUGUUCGGGAGCGCAUCUUUGCAAAAAUCUAUACAAGUAUCAGAACCGGUUGUGGAGAUGGGAAUUAGGAAAUCCCUAAUUGCAUAUCUGAAACCAUGACAUUUUUCGUGGAAGGGCUGGGCGUUUCGGCACCAAGGGGCUCACCAUAACUUUUGUUUCGCCAGCCUCGGACUCAUAUGUUCUUAACCAAGUGCAAGAACGGUUUGAGGUGGACAUCAAGGAGCUGCAUGAGCAGAUUGACACUUCAACAUACAUGGCAUCGUAGACGACGACCCCGACAUUGCAAGGACGACGGAAGGAGAAGAUGGAAGAUGGGAUCCUUGAAAGUUUGCUUCAAGUGAUGUUGUUUUUUGCAUGCCUACCUUGCUACUUAGGAGGCAUCAGCAGCAGUUGUACCUUUUUUUAGUCUGAGAGAGAUGUUUGUUUUGUUAAUUAGGCAAAAAUGAAAAUGAUUUUACUUGUGCUAGAAUUGGAUGGAUGAAUGUAUGAUGCAUGGUUUUCUUUGAAAUUUUAAAAAAUCAUGAUAUUUAGACAAAACUUAUUUUUUUCAAACGUUGCAAUAUAUCAUUAAAUAUUAUAUCUAAUCCUGUAACAUUCUAAAGUUUUCAAAUUUUGCUUGCUUGGGUAAUUUGAUUUGGUUGAAGAAUCUUUUUUGGAUGAAAUUCUAAACACUAUUCAGAGAAAUCAGCAGCUGCCUUUGUUCAAGAAUGUAGUAAUUCUCUGAACAUUAUUUUGCUUUUCUGUAGCAAGUUAUUCUAUUAGUACUGAACACUAUGCAAGGAAAAUCAGCAGCUGCCAUUCUUCAAGAAUGUACUAAUUCUCUGAACAUUGUUUUGUUUUUCUGUAGCAAAUUGUUCUAUUAAUACUAAAUACUAUGCAAGGAAAAUCAGCAGCUGCCAUUGUUUCAGAGAAUGAGCUAAUUCUUUGGAGAACAUUUGUUUUUCUGUAGCAAAUUAUUGUAUGAAUUCUGAACAUUGUUGAAAGAAAUUGAGCUCUGAACAUUGUUCAAAUAACAGAGAUAGAGCAGUCUGUGUAUAGAUUGAGCAUUAAGCUAG
Triticum dicoccoides is the source of this 1843-nucleotide long non-coding RNA. RefSeq lists it as uncharacterized. The transcript is spliced from 3 exons. The record is from RefSeq and is a predicted model, not a curated record. NCBI's taxonomy places the organism in Eukaryota, Viridiplantae, Streptophyta, Magnoliopsida, Poales, Poaceae.